CAGUGUGUGACAAAAGUUCACAUAUUACAUUACAUUACUGGCUGCUGAUCUGAUGUGAAAUGAAGGCCAAAACCCCAUCAUCAGCGUAAAAAAUAUCCAGAAGCCUUUGUGAAGCAAAGAUGGGUCUUUAGGUGGAUUUAGGGCUAAUGAUGGAAAUGUGAUCUUCAGGUGAUUUUCAGCUCUGUGUGUGUCUAAAGAAAAACAAAGUGAGUUGAAGCAGAAGAGCAAAGUGUAAGAGUU
Etheostoma spectabile (orangethroat darter) is the source of this 240-nucleotide long non-coding RNA. RefSeq lists it as uncharacterized. The transcript is spliced from 2 exons. Lineage: Eukaryota; Metazoa; Chordata; Actinopteri; Perciformes; Percidae. The record is from RefSeq and is a predicted model, not a curated record.